Molecule: long non-coding RNA, 971 nt
Organism: Gasterosteus aculeatus aculeatus (three-spined stickleback)
Lineage: Eukaryota; Metazoa; Chordata; Actinopteri; Perciformes; Gasterosteidae
Source: Ensembl
GUCAGUCAGGCCGCGCGGCGGAGGAACGAGUCGGCGACACCUGCGAACAAAGUGAUAACCGACUUCCAGCGCGCGAACGCGCGUGAAGCUGACGCGCGCGUUCACGCGGAAUACGUCGUUCCAAAAGGUGUUCGUGACACGGAGGAGCGAGCAACGGGAUUAUAAAAAAAAAAAAAAAAAAACACAAAGAAAAAAAGUUCAUUUGAAGACUUCGAGUGAUGCGAUUUUAAGUGGAACCCGGAGCGGGAGCAGAGGCACGAGCGCAGGCUUCUGGUGGAUGGAGAGACGAUGGAGGGGAACAGAACAGAGGUGCCCCUGUAUGGACAGGUGGAGGCCCUGGUGAGCUCACCAGCCGACGCCCCCGACCGAGCGGAGUUUUACGUCGUUGUGCGAGGCUCCGCCCUCACGCACGUGACCGCGGCGAAACGAGGAGCCGACGGACGGACCCUCUGCUACACGGUUCCUGGCCACGCCCCCGCGGAAGCCGCCGCCGUCACGUCCUACUUCUACGCGGCGGGGCGGGGUGGAGCCGUGCGAGGGCCGGGCCUCCCUCCAGUACCUGGCGGACGCGGCCCAGGAGGCGGCAGAGCACCUGAAAGCGAACCGCGAGCGGCUCGGCCCCCGGAGCCACCUGGAGGUGCUGGAGAGGUUCUCCGCCGCGGGGUUAGAGCGCCGCGAGGAGGAGGAGGAGGACGGGAUUUCAGGUGGGGAGUCCGGUCUGGGGAAGCUGGAUGAGAAGAUCACACAAGCCAUGGCCAACAUGGAAUACCCUCAGCAGUGGAGUGAGGCCGACGCUCAGCCCAGAGAAGCCGCUGAGCUUCAGCCCAGAGAAACCCUCCUUCACCUGGCGGUGCGCCUGGGUUUGGUCCACCUCUCGCGCUUCUUAAUCCACCAGCCCCGAGGUCAAAGGGCACUGACCGCGCCCAACCAGGAGGGGCACACCCCCCUCCAGCUGGCCCAGAGGGACGGAC